This 497-nucleotide ribosomal RNA is filed under the name uncultured bacterium. RNAcentral's name for it is "partial 16S ribosomal RNA". It matches the Rfam family "Bacterial small subunit ribosomal RNA", at positions 28 to 507 of the family's 1533-position model. The record is from RNAcentral.
GAUGAACGCUGGCGGCGUGCCUAAUACAUGCAAGUCGAGCGAACAGAUGUGGAGCUUUCUCCUCUGACGUUAGCGGCGGACGGGUGAGUAACACGUGGAUAACCUACCUAUAAGACUGGGAUAACUUCGGGAAACCGGAUCUAAUACCGGAUAAUAUAUUGAACCGCAUGGUUCAAUAGUGAAAGACGGUUUUGCUGUCACUUAUAGAUGGAUCCGCGCCGCAUUAGCUAGUUGGUAAGGUAACGGCUUACCAAGGCGACGAUGCGUAGCCGACCUGAGAGGGUGAUCGGCCACACUGGAACUGAGAAACGGUCCAGACUCCUACGGGAGGCAGCAGUAGGGAAUCUUCCGCAAUGGGCGAAAGCCUGACGGAGCAAGGCCGCGGGAGUGAGGAAGGUCUUCGGAUCGUAAAAAUCUGUUACUAGGGAAGAACAAAUGUGUAAGAAACUAUGCAAGUCUUGACGGUACCUAAUCAGAAAGCCACGGCUAACUACGUG